AGUGAACGCUGGCGGUAGGCCUAACACAUGCAAGUCGAACGGCAGCACAGGAGAGCUUGCUCUCUAGGUGGCGAGUGGCGGACGGGUGAGGAAUACAUCGGAAUCUGCCCAGUCGUGGGGGAUAACGUAGGGAAACUUACGCUAAUACCGCAUACGACCUUCGGGUGAAAGAGGGGGAUCGCAAGACCUCUCGCGAUUGGAUGAGCCGAUGUCGGAUUAGCUAGUUAGCGGGGUAAUGGCCCACCAAGGCGACGAUCCGUAGCUGGUCUGAGAGGAUGAUCAGCCCCACUGGAACUGGGACAAGGUCCAGACUCCUACGGGAGGCAGCAGUGGGGAAUAUUGGACAAUGGGCGCAAGCCUGAUCCAGCCAUACCGCGUGGGUGAAGAAGGCCUUCGGGUUGUAAAGCCCUUUUGUUGGGAAAGAAAUCUUUCAGGCUAAUACCCUGGGAGGAUGACGGUACCCAAAGAAUAAGCACCGGCUAACUUCGUG
This 490-nucleotide ribosomal RNA is filed under the name uncultured bacterium. Its description in RNAcentral is "partial 16S ribosomal RNA". It matches the Rfam family "Bacterial small subunit ribosomal RNA", at positions 29 to 507 of the family's 1533-position model. The record is from RNAcentral.